Molecule: non-coding RNA, 719 nt
Organism: Arachis ipaensis
Lineage: Eukaryota; Viridiplantae; Streptophyta; Magnoliopsida; Fabales; Fabaceae
Source: RefSeq, a predicted model, not a curated record
AGCUAAUUGAACCACAUCCAUUUUUUCAAAAUACCAAAAUUACCCUUGACAUUUUGUCCCAAAAGUAAAAACCCUACCUGGCGAUUGUUCUUUGAAGUCAGUGGCGUUUUUUCUCCCUUUGUUGGUGUCGUCGUCGUCAUUGUCCAUCGUCCUUGGUCUACGCUGCACUGCUCUGCGCUGAUCGUCCGUCUGCUCUGCUCAAUGCUGAUGGUGUGUCGCUUAAAUCGCGUUCCCUCGCCGUCGAUCGCCGCGCCAUGCCUCGCGUCGCCGCACCACGCCUCGCCUGGCCGCACCUCGCCUUGUUGCCUGAGGUUCUCGGUCGCAAUUGGCUACUAAAGCUUUUGAUGGAGAUGACUAUCUUAUUGGGACAUCUGCUGAACUCAAAUAUGCUCUUUUAGAAUUCUUCUCGGCUUGGAAACCAGCCGUUAUCAAUGUUAUUAUUGAUUCUCAUGCUGGUUCAAAGAGUGGGAGGCGGCAACACAAGAACUAAUUUCUACAUUAUUUGUAUUACACUAAAAUUACGUUUUCUAUUGUUUUCAUUUUUAGAUUUUAAAUUUCAAUAACACAAAUUCCCUAGCUCUAUGGUUUUCUAUAGUGUACCAUGAUAUGAUAAAGACACAAACUAUAUUCCAUGAAUCCACACAAAUAUAAAAUGUUACAUGAUCGUAAUGAAUACUUGAAUGAUGGAAACUGAAUUUUAUAUAUACUUAUUACUACUA